This 484-nucleotide ribosomal RNA is filed under the name uncultured bacterium. RNAcentral's name for it is "partial 16S ribosomal RNA". It matches the Rfam family "Bacterial small subunit ribosomal RNA", at positions 30 to 507 of the family's 1533-position model. The record is from RNAcentral.
AUUGAACGCUGGCGGCAGGCCUAACACGUGCAAGUCGAGCGGAUGAAGGGAGCUUGCUCCUGGAUUCAGCGGCGGACGGGUGAGUAAUGCCUAGGAAUCUGCCUGGUAGUGGGGGAUAACGUCCGGAAACGGGCGCUAAUACCGCAUACGUCCUGAGGGAGAAAGUGGGGGAUCUUCGGACCUCACGCUAUCAGAUGAGCCUAGGUCGGAUUAGCUAGUUGGUGGGGUAAAGGCCUACCAAGGCGACGAUCCGUAACUGGUCUGAGAGGAUGAUCAGUCACACUGGAACUGAGACACGGUCCAGACUCCUACGGGAGGCAGCAGUGGGGAAUAUUGGACAAUGGGCGAAAGCCUGAUCCAGCCAUGCCGCGUGUGUGAAGAAGGUCUUCGGAUUGUAAAGCACUUUAAGUUGGGAGGAAGGGCAGUAAGUUAAUACCUUGCUGUUUUGACGUUACCAACAGAAUAGGCACCGGCUAACUUCGUG